GGUAUAGUUGUUUAAAUUAGUCGGGUCCAAAGUAGGCAUAGUAUAUCAGAAACAAUAAAAAAAAAACUCAAACAGUAACAUUAAGAAACCCUUUCUCCUCAAAUUUGAUAUUAGGAUCUGAAAAAUCUAAGACAAGGAGAUCUAUUAAGAGCAAAAAAAAUAAAAAACUUGUAUGUCAUUUACAUAUAUUCUCCUCUCCUAUUAUGUAUCUUCAUAAUAUAUCUGCUUACUCGAAUUUCUCUUCCUCCUCGGACGCUGUAGAAAAAUCUUGAACCCCAUCAAAUGUACAAUCUCAUAGAAAGAAAAAGAAACUAGAAUAUAUUUUCUCAGAAAAAAGAAUCACAUUUUUAUCUUUUUUCUGGGCAUCAAUUAUUUUCAAGAAUCUCUGUAGUCACGCCAACAGAUAAGCAUAGUAACACAACGCCUCAUAAUAUAAAACCUUGCUCUUUGUUCUUUUACCAAAGAAGCACAUUUUCUUGUAAAAGCACAUCUUUUGUUGUGAGAUGAAGAUGAAUUUUUAAGGAAAUUAGAGGAAGUAGUAGUAGUAGUUGUAGUAGAGCGGCAGCUACGAGCUAAGCUUUCUUUUUUGGACAGUUUCCAUUUAUCAUCCAAGUAAAAUUGCUGUGGAACUGUAUCAGCAGCCAUGAAAAGAGAGUAAAUUGUAGAGAUCUGUUGUUGGACUUGGAUUUGGCUACCCUUUUUUGGCUAUUUGUGUAAAAGCUCAAAAAGUGGAGUUUUCUGGGGAUUCUUGAGGAUGAAGAUGAUGAGUUUUUGAGAGUUGAGUCAGUCAGUUGGAGGGUUUGGGAGAUGGCAACUAGGGUUAGUAUUUAUAAUGGGGUUC
RNAcentral lists this long non-coding RNA (841 nucleotides) under Nicotiana benthamiana. RNAcentral describes it as "long non-coding RNA (NBEN_LNC032559)". The record is from RNAcentral. Lineage: Eukaryota; Viridiplantae; Streptophyta; Magnoliopsida; Solanales; Solanaceae.